CAGAGGGGGCAAGCGUUAUUCGGAAUUAUUGGGCGUAAAGGGCGCGUAGGCGGCUUUUCAAGUGACGGGUGAAAUCCCUCGGCUUAACCGAGGAACUGCCUGUCAGACUGAAUAGCUUGAGACCGGGAGAGGUGAGUGGAAUUCCCAGUGUAGCGGUGAAAUGCGUAGAUAUUGGGAGGAACACCAGUGGCGAAGGCGGCUCACUGGACCGGUACUGACGCUGAGGCGCGAAAGCGUGGGGAGCAAACAGGAUUAGAUACCCUGGUAGUCCACGCCGUAAACGAUGAGUGCUUGGUGUAGCGGGUAUCGACCCCUGCUGUGCCGAAGUCAACACAUUAAGCACUCCGGCCUGGGGAGUACGGUCGCAAGACUGA
This 374-nucleotide ribosomal RNA is filed under the name uncultured organism. RNAcentral's name for it is "bacterial SSU rRNA". It matches the Rfam family "Bacterial small subunit ribosomal RNA", at positions 526 to 897 of the family's 1533-position model. The record is from RNAcentral.